GGUCAAGUUAGCAGAGUGGUCCCGCACAAGGUGUAUAUCCUUGAGGUCGCUUGUUCGAUUCAAUUUUUUUGAUCA
Non-coding RNA from Dendrothele bispora CBS 962.96, 75 nucleotides. The record is from the annotation of a GenBank genome assembly. NCBI's taxonomy places the organism in Eukaryota, Fungi, Basidiomycota, Agaricomycetes, Agaricales.